This 71-nucleotide transfer RNA is filed under the name Candidatus Shapirobacteria bacterium. RNAcentral's name for it is "tRNA-Gln". It matches the Rfam family "tRNA". From Rfam's summary of the family: Transfer RNA (tRNA) molecules are approximately 80 nucleotides in length. Their secondary structure includes four short double-helical elements and three loops (D, anti-codon, and T loops). Lineage: Bacteria; Candidatus Shapironibacteriota. The record is from RNAcentral.
UACCCCGUCGUCUAACGGUAGGACAGCUGGCUCUGAACCAGCUAAUUGUGGUUCGAAUCCAUACGGGGUAA